Trematomus bernacchii (emerald rockcod) is the source of this 225-nucleotide long non-coding RNA. RefSeq lists it as uncharacterized. The transcript is spliced from 3 exons. The record is from RefSeq and is a predicted model, not a curated record. NCBI's taxonomy places the organism in Eukaryota, Metazoa, Chordata, Actinopteri, Perciformes, Nototheniidae.
GCAACAGCGUUACUGGAGUCUAUGAAUGAUGAUUACGUUUUGAAUAGCGAGGAUGAACCAACACCGUCCGGUGCAUCGAUAUCAUCCAUAUCUACAGCACAAACUCCAGCUCGAGCACAGACACCAACACGAGCACAGACACCAACGCCGAGUGCCAGCUCGACACCGCGUGUGGUUCUAGGCAAGAGGAGACGAGGAGGAGAGGAACUGGCCCUGCUGGAACGG